UGUUGGAAAAGAGGCCUCGUGGUGAUGACAGGUAGCAAGAAGCCCCAUUUUCUGAAUUGAUAGAAGGGUAUGAGAAACCCUGAUGUCUGGAGGGUAUCCAGCUGCUGGGUUUAUAAAUCCUGUCACACAGGCAUCAUGCAUUCACUCAGUCAUUACUCGGUCAACUAUGGAGUCCCAGUAUAUAUGAGAGACCAUAUAUUUUCGCAUGCUAAGGAGGAAAACAAAGUUCUCUGAACUCUGUUUCCGAACCAAAUCGGCUGCCCAGAGAAAUGUUUUAUUUGGCCACACUGAUGUUUUUCAGAAAUUGAAUUGGUGACCGACCACUAAACAUGGGAAUAUUUCCCACUUACAAAAAAAUUUUUUAACGCUUAUUUAUUAUUGAGAGACAGAGAGAGACAGAGCAUGAGCAUGGGAGGGGCAGAGAGAGGAGGAGACACAGAAUAUAAAGCAGGCUCCAGGCUCUGAGCACAGAGCCCGACGCAGGGCUCAAACUCACGAACCGCGAGAUCAUGACCUGAGCCAAAGUCAGACGCCCAACCAACUGAGCCACCCAGGCGCCCCAGGAAUCGCUCGUUUAAACGACCUGUGGCCAUUCAGGGGUCUGAACGUCCUUGUGGCGGGUGUGGGUUCCCUGGGUUUUCGUGGAGUGUUUUCCAAGACCCAGGCGCCCCAUUCUUCAUUCCCCACCUAUCCCAAGGAACCCUAACUAUGAGGACCGUGUAUCUUAUGCUUCAGGAGCCUAGGAACAAGACAACGGCAGUGGAGGAGCAGUUAGUACAAGAGGUGGAGCGCCUCCAGGCAAAGGUAGAGGCCGGGAAAGCCUGUUUCUUAGAGAAGUACAAAGAGUGUCAACGACUCCACAAACAGAUCAGGCAACUCAGGGCUGCUGCGCUGGAAGUGAAGCAGGACCAGAAGAGCCAGCAAGAGCCCAUGGGGAUGGGGAGCCAGGAGCCAGCAGUGAGCACUGUCGUCGGGUAGUCCCUCCCGCAUUACUACCUCAGGGCCGGCUAGAAGCACACGGCAGUCCGGGCACCAGCAUUCAAAUAAAAAAAUCUUGGAAAAAAAAAA
Molecule: long non-coding RNA, 1068 nt
Organism: Acinonyx jubatus (cheetah)
Lineage: Eukaryota; Metazoa; Chordata; Mammalia; Carnivora; Felidae
Exons: 2
Source: RefSeq, a predicted model, not a curated record